Long non-coding RNA from Nerophis lumbriciformis (worm pipefish), 485 nucleotides. RefSeq lists it as uncharacterized. The record is from RefSeq and is a predicted model, not a curated record. Lineage: Eukaryota; Metazoa; Chordata; Actinopteri; Syngnathiformes; Syngnathidae.
UUCUGGACACGCCCCCACACGCGCUGCGCAGACCGCGCCCACACGCCGCCGCAGCCGGCGGCAAUCUUCAAUCAGCACAGCUGGCAGUGAUUACAGACAACAGGAUAAAGAGCCUCGCCGCGGACUAAUCGACGUCGGAACGUAGCCCUGUUCGCAUCUCGUGUCUCAUUGUCAACUUCCUUUUCCCCCUGGACCUGGAUUGCCCUCCUGAUUGAGACACCCUGCUUGUACCUUGGACGCUCUCUCCUGCAGCACGACCUCCUUUUGGACACCGGACUUGCACUCUCCUUCCACGACCCCGUUUGGACAUUGGACUUCCCUACUUCUUUUCCCUCUGGAUUUGGACGCCCUCAUUCAACACACUUGACAACACCCCUUAAGGUAUCUUCACAUGUUAAUCUCAGCACAUAGCUCACAUUCAAACACAUAGUAGCAUACACAUCCUAUGUAUUCAUCAAUCACUCAAUAAAUAUUAUUGAGUUAUA